Molecule: ribosomal RNA, 538 nt
Filed under: uncultured bacterium
Lineage: Bacteria
Description: bacterial SSU rRNA
Rfam family: Bacterial small subunit ribosomal RNA
Source: RNAcentral
GGAAUCUUGCACAAUGGAGGAAACUCUGAUGCAGCGAUGCCGCGUGAGUGAAGAAGGCCUUUGGGUUGUAAAGCUCUUUUGUAGGGGAAGAUAAUGACUGUACCCUAAGAAUAAGGUCCGGCUAACUUCGUGCCAGCAGCCGCGGUAAUACGAAGGGACCUAGCGUAGUUCGGAAUUACUGGGCGUAAAGCGCGCGUAGGCCGUUGAGUUAGUUAAUUGUGAAAUCCCAAAGCUUAACUUUGGAACUGCAAUUAAAACUGCUCGACUAGAGUUUGAUAGAGGAAAGCGGAAUACAUAGUGUAGAGGUGAAAUUCGUAGAUAUUAUGUAGAACACCAGUUGCGAAGGCGGCUUUCUGGAUCAACACUGACGCUGAGGCGCGAAAGUAUGGGUAGUAAAGAGGAUUAGAUACCCUCGUAGUCCAUACCAUAAACGAUGAUUGCUAGAUGUUGGAAAUUUAUUUUCAGUAUCGCAGCUAACGCAUUAAGCAAUCCGCCUGGGGAGUACGACCGCAAGGUUAAAACUCAAAUGAAUUGACGG